This 1066-nucleotide long non-coding RNA is filed under the name Anser cygnoides (Swan goose). RNAcentral's name for it is "lncRNA (ENSACDG00005012955.1)". Lineage: Eukaryota; Metazoa; Chordata; Aves; Anseriformes; Anatidae. The record is from RNAcentral.
AAACCAGAGUAUUUCAUUAGCUAAUUAGCAGCAUCAAUAAUACAGGGCAAUCUUCAACAAAUAUUUGCUAUUUAAAAGAGGUUUUAUGAAGAGGGAAAAAUUUCAUAGAUUUCAGUUCAAUAUCAUUUCCUCCCAAGUUCACCUGCACAGUUAAGCUGAAAUGGAUUAAGCUGAUCCUCUUUUACCAUUAUUUGCUUUUUCCAUUUUCUUGCUAGACGCAUCACAUGAAUGAAAAAUUGUCAUUCUGGAUGAACUUUCAUUAUAUCAGAAAGCCUGAUUAGAAAGUAAAGAACAGCUGGGCUACAUAUUUUAUGAGCUUCCUUUGAAAGAAAGGUCUUUGAGCAUACUUCUGUCAGUUGGUAUUUCUCUGGCUCCUUCAAGUUUUCUUUACUUUCAGCCAACCAGCAUGUCUUACUAAUAUGGCAUAGUAAACUUACCAGAAAAAGAAUGCAUUGAAAAAUAAGGUCCAAUUAAGGUGCAAUUUAAUAGAGAGUCUUUUUUUUUUUUUUUCCUGUAAAAGAGAUGUCUGUUUUUCUGCCUAAAUCCAGGUUUUAAUCUUGUACUGCUAGUUGGGAGUGUGUAUCCCUGAAAUACUGGAUCUUUCUGGAGCUCCAGAGUUUCAGAUCUGCUGGUAGCUGUGUUUCUGUCAAACAACCAUCAACUAUUUAAGCUCAGAAAAAUAAAGGCUCUGCUGACAUCACAGAAGUGAUCUUGGAAUAUUUUUUUGAGCCUGCACAACUUUACUGAUUAAUUAUGGGUAAUACUGAGCACACUCAAGGAAAUAGGAGUUUAGAUGACUUCCCAUGGAAGAAAGCUCUUCACUACUUUUUACAGUGGCAGAUCAUUCGGUCCCAUCUAUCUUGGUUCCUGCGAAAGACAAAGAAGAUGUUCUUCUUGAGCUGAAAGAACUGUCAAGCCUGGGGAGUGUAUUUUACAGCCUCGUACACAACAGGACUCACAAGCAUUAGCCCAUCAAACUCAUAAUUGUGUGAAAAAGAGCAGGAAGAGAAAAGAGGAGAAAACAGGAAAGGAAAUAAAAAGGAGGAGUAAGGAAGGAUGUAAGUCA